Long non-coding RNA from Lemur catta (Ring-tailed lemur), 2857 nucleotides. RefSeq lists it as uncharacterized. NCBI's taxonomy places the organism in Eukaryota, Metazoa, Chordata, Mammalia, Primates, Lemuridae. The transcript has 3 exons. The record is from RefSeq and is a predicted model, not a curated record.
UCCUAGAUUUUAGAAGAUUAUAGAUUUUCUUCUAAAACUUUUAUUGUUUUAGCUCUUACCUUUAGAUAUAUGAUUAAUUUGGAGUUAAUUUUUCUGUAUGGUGUGAGCAGGGAUCUAUACUCAUCUUUUUGCAUGUGGAUACUCAAUGGUUCCAAUACCAUUUUUUGAAAAGAUUAUACUUUCCCCUUUUAAUUUCCUUGGUGCCUUUGUUGAAAAUCAAUUGACUAUAAAUAUAAGGAGUUAUUUCCGGACUCUCAAUUUUGUUCCAAUGAUUAAUAUGUUUAUCUUUGUGGUCAAUAUGCUGUCUUGGUUACAGGAGCUUUAUGUUAAGUUUUACAAUUAGGAAAUUUUUUUUUUCCCCAAAUUGUUUUGGUUGCUCUGGGUCCUUUGCAUUUCCACGUAAAUAUUAGAAUUAGCUUUUCAAUUUCUGCAAAAAAGGCUGCUGGAAUUUUUUUGUGUUGUUGAACCUAUAGAUCACUGUGGGGGAACUACUGACACCUCAACAAUAUUGAGCUUUCCAAUCCAUGAAUAUGAAAUGUUUCUCUAUUAGUUUAGGUCUUAUUUAAUUUUAGCAAUGAUUUGUGGGUUUUGGUGUACAAGUCUUACACUCAAUACCUUCUUGAGGGUUUGUGUGAUCCUGCCAGGGAGACGUUUCUUUUUCUCAGAGGUCUCACUGAAAGCAGUGGAGAGAGAGCAGGAGGCAGUGUGCCAAGUGGGGAAGGACCAGCUCUGAGCUGCGGCAAGCCACGCAACCUCUCGCUGAAAUGAGUGUAAUGCAAAUUAUUUUGCUUCAAGGUUGUGAGGAUUGGAGGUAACGUGUGGAAGGGACUUAGAAGAAUGUCCGUAUGCAGGUGUUCACUAUUUGGUGCCUGAGCUCGUUGGCACCUGUGAUGGUGAUUAUACAGCGCUGUGCGUGCCAAUAAAGGGGACGGGGCCACGGGGGGAGUUGCAGCUCUCGGGACCCUCAUCCUGCCACGGAGUCUCUUUGCAGCUCAGAGUGGGGGCUAGUGAUGCACAGUAGAGAAGUGCAUAUUCCGUCUCAUCUGAUCUCUGAACAACUCAUUGAGUUACCUGUCAUCAUCCACAGUUUACACGAAGAAAACUGGUGUUCAGAGAAAGAGUCAAGUUCCUGGGGCCACAGAGCUGGUAAGAGGCAGAGAAGGAUUUGAACCCAGACUUGUCUAAGUUCAAAGUUUAUGCUUUUCUGCUAGUCCUCACCACACCAUGACCCCACAAGGUCUCAUAAGGGAACCUGCAGGCAGCAAUACAUUCUAAGCAAGGCACAUAACUGACUCCUCAACGGGCAAUGGACACUGAUACGUGAUUAGUAUGUAUUGCUUAUCUUUUUUCUUUUCUUCAGGCUCUCUCAUGAGGUUGCAGUAUCUUGCUCAUCUUUGUUUCUUAUUGUGUUAAAGGUUUGAUUUAGCCUCAAGAUUCAGGAAGGCAGUUAUGACUCCCAUUACCAAGGACUAGGACCUGGGUUGAAGGAGGAUGUUGUUCUCAUGGUGGAAGGCAGAAACCUAAGAGAGCUGAAGCCAACCCAUGUGAAGCAGCGCAAAGGAAACGUGACUUGCCCAAGCUCACUUGGAAGAUGUGAGUGUCAGAGUCAGCUCCAGGGGACCCAUCGGUGCCCAGGGUGACUGAGACUCCCUAUACAGCCACUCCUGGAGCGAGGAGUUCCUUCCAGGAUGAUCUGGAACACGCUGUGUCCACGGCACACUAGUGCAUGCAUAGCGAAGCCCUGGUGGUGCGUGAGCCUGCUCUGGGGGAAUCUCUCCGGAACCCGGGGGGAAACCCACUCGGUGACCCCAUCCCUGGCCUGCUCUUCAGAGCAAUAUUUGAAACUAAAAUUCUAAUGCAGUGAAAGCUUUGAGUGGUCCCUAGGGUGGGAUCUGUCCCUCACAUUGGCACGUGAGGUCACAGCUCAGAGGAAGGACGGAGGGAAAUCGAGUCCUGUCUGUCCUUGGCAUUCUCGUGGAAAGAGUUUCAAGAAAAUAUGGGAUGUGGAAGGUGAGAACUUGGAAUACAAGCACCGCAGACAGACGCCAGGGGUUUCUCCGCUUGAUGCUGUGUAGACGGGCAGCUUGGCCUGGGGUCUGGAGGCGGAGAAGGGAGCGUUAGCCCUGCCCGAGGCUGGGGAGAUCGUCUCUAAGGCUCAGAGUUUCCUAAUGUUUUUGGAAGGCUGUUCCUUUUCUGCACGGGUGGCUAUCAGAGAGAGAAAGGGACGACGGGGCUAUCUCAUCACCGUGUGCCUGCAAGGACAAAAGGACACAUGGAGUGGGACGGAGGGGGUUCCCAGGACGAAGGCUGGCUCUGCCGCGGGCCUUGAAAGGAGCGUCAGCGGUUCCCCCUGGAGCUCCCGAAUCCGCGCCCACAGGUGGGCCCUUGCUGGCCUUCAUUUCCUGCCCAGACGGAAAACGUCGCCGCUGAGGCCUGAGCACAGUUCCAGUGACACCAGCCUGGAGGGAAGCAGUAGCCGAGUGCCUGGUCCCCACUGGGGUCAGAGCUUCGCCUCUGUUGGCAGGCGUGCCCUCCGCCGGAGCUCUUCUCCCUGGGACCCCGGAUGGGAGGCGUGGGGCGGGCACACACCCGCCUUUAGAGGAGUCUAAAUAUCAGAGGCGGGAUUGCUGACCUGUCACAGGGCGACAGCGUGGCUAACCCAUCCUGCCCGUGUGCAGUCCUGGUCCCCCGGUCUCGCUGCCUCCCUUGGCCACUCGCCGUCAGCCCUGUCUUCCCGGCUGGGAGCCACGCCGGGCUCUCUUGGAGACAGGUGCUUGUGCUGUUGCCCUGGUAACAGAACUAUUAAACCAAGCCCCAGCCUCGGGAGUACUUGUGCCUGGUGAGGUAACGUCUGUCA